This is a non-coding RNA of Pelobates cultripes (western spadefoot toad), 568 nucleotides long. Lineage: Eukaryota; Metazoa; Chordata; Amphibia; Anura; Pelobatidae. The record is from the annotation of a GenBank genome assembly.
GUUCCCCCUAGGACAGCAUUGAGUAAUGCUUUCCCAUGGGGAAAUCCUAAUACAAGCGUGGCUAUUGCUGCACAUGCACAUUAGGUUUCCCCCGCCAGCUAACGUCAGCGGGGGAGGAGCAUGGGUGGAACCUAACCCAGCGCCAAUGUCCCUCGACGCUGGAUUCAGGUGAGUGACUGAAGGGGUUUUAACCUCUUCAGCCGCACGGGAGGCGGGGCGCGAGGGAGGGGGUCACUGUUGGAUUCUACAGUGCCAGGAAAAUGGGUUUGUUUUCCUGGCAGUAUAGAAUCCCUUUAACUGUAACAGUUGAUGCAAAUAAAUCAAGUUAACACAAAUUAGUACAAACAAUGUUAUAAACAAUGAUAGAAGUGGAAAUAUUUGUUUUCAAAAUUACUGGCAGGGUUAUGUGUAGGUAGUAGAUUUAAAAAAAAAAAAAAUGCAUACUUAUUUCACCAUCUCAUCUCUGGGCAGAAUUGGGUCAUACGCACAAGGAUAAACUCUCCAAGUAAAUUAUCUGUAUGGUUGACAUUUUUAGGUUUUACAGUUUAUACAUUAGCCUAAAAAAAAU